This 253-nucleotide unclassified non-coding RNA is filed under the name uncultured Caryophanales bacterium. Its description in RNAcentral is "uncultured Bacillales bacterium contains 16S-23S intergenic spacer region". It matches the Rfam family "Bacterial small subunit ribosomal RNA", at positions 524 to 776 of the family's 1533-position model. The record is from RNAcentral. Lineage: Bacteria; Bacillati; Bacillota; Bacilli; Caryophanales.
GACGGGGGGGGCAAGUGUUCUUCGGAAUUAUUGGGCGUAAAGCGCGCGCAGGCGGCCUCUUAAGUCUGAUGUGAAAGCCCCCGGCUCAACCGGGGAGGGCCAUUGGAAACUGGGUGGCUUGAGUAUAGGAGAGAAGAGUGGAAUUCCACGUGUAGCGGUGAAAUGCGUAGAGAUGUGGAGGAACACCAGUGGCGAAGGCGACUCUUUGGCCUAUAACUGACGCUGAGGCGCGGAAGCGUGGGGAGCAAACAGG